This 413-nucleotide long non-coding RNA is filed under the name Solanum tuberosum (potato). RNAcentral's name for it is "long non-coding RNA (STUB_LNC001581)". Lineage: Eukaryota; Viridiplantae; Streptophyta; Magnoliopsida; Solanales; Solanaceae. The record is from RNAcentral.
UCAAACUAACUCAAAUAAUACCCAAGUUCAAACAACUCCUUAAAUACCCUAAUUCAAUCUAAUCUUACAAUUCCAAAAUCAAACUAAUUAACUUAAGAAAUACCGAAUUUCAAACAAAUCCUAAGAUACCCUAAUUCAAACUAACCCUAACAUUAAAAUUUUCAAUUCACAAUCAACAAACACAAACUAACAAUCAAAUAAUACCUAAUUCAAACUAACAAUCAAAAACCCUAAACCAUUCACUUACUAACUAACAAUCAAUCAAACUAACAAUCAAUAAAACUAAGUAUAUUAGUACUCUAAUUUUGAGAUACUUCAACUAAAUAGAAACAAAAGUAAUCUAUUAUGGAGGUUCUAAAAAUUCACCUUCACUAAGAAGGUCAGGGAUGGAGGUGCUGGUCGAGAUGAAGGCG